AUGACUUUGAUCUGCGUCCUCAUCUGGACUCUCCUCUGCUGCUGCUUCACAGAGUCCAGAGGUCAGGUCACGGUGACUCAGCCUGCAGCAGUGACCGCUGAUCUGGGAAGAUCUGUCACCAUCAACUGUAGGACCAGUCAGAAAGUUCUUUUUUACAAACCAUACCACUAUUUAGCCUGGUAUCAACAGAAAAAUGGUCAAAUUCCAAAGCUGCUCAUUAUGGUUUCCAGCCUUCGAGCAUCAGGGACUCCAAGUCGUUUUACAGGCAGUGGGUCAAACUCUGACUUCACUCUGACCAUCAGUGGAGCUUUAGCAGAAGAUUCUGCGGUUUACUACUGUAAGAGUGAACACCACAUUAACAAUCAGUAUGUGUUCACACAGUGAAAAACAGUCAUAC
Cyprinodon tularosa is the source of this 397-nucleotide non-coding RNA. NCBI's taxonomy places the organism in Eukaryota, Metazoa, Chordata, Actinopteri, Cyprinodontiformes, Cyprinodontidae. The record is from the annotation of a RefSeq genome assembly.